This 459-nucleotide ribosomal RNA is filed under the name uncultured bacterium. Its description in RNAcentral is "partial 16S ribosomal RNA". It matches the Rfam family "Bacterial small subunit ribosomal RNA", at positions 338 to 795 of the family's 1533-position model. The record is from RNAcentral.
CCUACGGGAGGCAGCAGUGAGGAAUAUUGGUCAAUGGCCGGAAGGCUGAACCAGCCAAGCCGCGUGAGGGAGGAAGGCGCAGAGCGUCGCAGACCUCUUUUGCCGGGGGACAAAAGGCCGGACUCGUCCGGUCCUGAGGGUACCCGGAGAAAAAGCAUCGGCUAACUCCGUGCCAGCAGCCGCGGUAAUACGGAGGAUGCGAGCGUUAUCCGGAUUUAUUGGGUUUAAAGGGUGCGUAGGCGGAUCGUUAAGUCAGUGGUCAAAUUGAGGGGCUCAACCCCUUCCCGCCAUUGAAACUGGCGUUCUUGAGUGGAAGAGAAGUAUGCGGAAUGCGUGGUGUAGCGGUGAAAUGCAUAGAUAUCACGCAGAACCCCGAUUGCGAAGGCAGCAUGCCGGCUUCCGACUGACGCUGAAGCACGAAAGCGUGGGGAUCGAACAGGAUUAGAUACCCUUGUAGUC